GAGUUUGAUCCUGGCUCAGGAUGAACGCUGGCGGCGUGCCUAAUACAUGCAAGUCGAGCGAACAGAUAAGGAGCUUGCUCCUUUGACGUUAGCGGCGGACGGGUGAGUAACACGUGGGUAACCUACCUAUAAGACUGGAAUAACUCCGGGAAACCGGGGCUAAUGCCGGAUAAUAUUUAGAACCGCAUGGUUCUAAAGUGAAAGACGGUUUUGCUAUCACUUAUAGAUGGACCCGCGCCGUAUUAGCUAGUUGGUGGGGUAAUGGCUUACCAAGGCAACGAUACGUAGCCGACCUGAGAGGGUGAUCGGCCACACUGGAACUGAGACACGGUCCAGACUCCUACGGGAGGCAGCAGUAGGGAAUCUUCCGCAAUGGGCGAAAGCCUGACGGAGCAACGCCGCGUGAGUGAUGAAGGUCUUCGGAUCGUAAAACUCUGUUAUUAGGGAAGAACAAAUGUGUAAGUAACUGUGCACGUCUUGACGGUACCUAAUCAGAAAGCCACGGCU
Molecule: ribosomal RNA, 507 nt
Filed under: uncultured bacterium
Lineage: Bacteria
Description: bacterial SSU rRNA
Rfam family: Bacterial small subunit ribosomal RNA
Source: RNAcentral